AAUAGCCUAACGGCUGAACCAGCAAUUUGGAAGAAUGUAUAGCAAUAGCUGAUUGCACCAACAAACAGUUGAUGCAAAAUUGAUUAUAUCAAAUAAAAUUCUAGGUAGAUUUUUGAUAAUGACAUUGCUUACCUAAGUCUUGACCAAAUUACGUGCCAGCAGUCGCGGUAAUACGUAAAAGACUAGUGUUAUUCAUCUUUAAUUGGUUUAAAGGGUACCUAGACAGCGAAUAAAGCCAUAGUAGGGACUAAUUCGCUAGAGUUACUUAUGAGGGGGUAUUAAAGUACUGCAGGUGUAGAGAUGAAAUUUUGUUAUACCUCUUUUCGUAAGAGAAAAUAUGGCACAGGUAUAGGUGAAAGCAUCCCCUUAUGUGAUAACUGACGUUGAGGGACGAAGGCUUUGUGUCGCGAACAGGAUUAGAUACCCCAAUAGUCAAAGCAGAAAAUGAUGAAUGUCAUAGAUUAGAUAUGCAAUUUAUUCUAUAAAUGAAAGUGUAAGCAUUCCACCUCAAGAGUAAUUUGGCAACAUUGGAACUGAAAUCAUUAGACCGUUUCUGAAACCAGUAGUGAAGUAUGUUGUUUAAUUUGAUGAUACGCAAAAAACCUUACCACAAUUUGAAUAUUUAUAUCUAUCUUUUAUUGAUUUUUACUAACAUAUAUGUAGACAAUUAAAAUGAUGUUUAUGUCUCGAUUGUGAAACUAAGCAUGAAAAAAGAUAAUAUAUUUACAAGCGUUGCACGGCUGUCUUCAGUUAAUGUCGCGAGAUUUUGGUUAGUUCCAUUAAAUUAACGUAAACCCUUACUUUAUUUAUAAAUAAAGUAGUUCUCCGCUAUAUUGGAUAUGAUAACAGGGACUAAGACAAGUCAUCAUGGCCUAAAUAUUGUGGGCUAUAGACGUGCCACAUAAACCUUACAAAAGGAUGUGAAAUUGUGAAAUUGAGCUAAUCCUCCAAAAAUGGAUAAACAUUUAAU
Molecule: ribosomal RNA, 970 nt
Filed under: Cladonia caespiticia
Lineage: Eukaryota; Fungi; Ascomycota; Lecanoromycetes; Lecanorales; Cladoniaceae
Description: SSU rRNA
Rfam family: Bacterial small subunit ribosomal RNA
Source: RNAcentral